Molecule: ribosomal RNA, 305 nt
Filed under: uncultured bacterium
Lineage: Bacteria
Description: bacterial SSU rRNA
Rfam family: Bacterial small subunit ribosomal RNA
Source: RNAcentral
CCUACGGGGGGCAGCAGUGGGGGAUAUUGCACAAUGGGGGAAACCCUGAUGCAGCGACGCCGCGUGUGGGAAGACGGUCCUCUGGAUUGUAAACCACUGUCCCCAGGGACGAAGAUGACGGUACCUGGGGAGGAAGCUCCGGCUAACUACGUGCCAGCAGCCGCGGUAAUACGUAGGGAGCAAGCGUUGUCCGGAAUUACUGGGUGUAAAGGGAGCGUAGGCGGGAUGGCAAGUUGGGUGUUAAAUCUACCGGCUCAACUGGUAGUCGCACUCAAAACUGCUAUUCUUGAGUGAAGUAGAGGCAG